RNAcentral lists this ribosomal RNA (489 nucleotides) under Staphylococcus lugdunensis. RNAcentral describes it as "bacterial SSU rRNA". It matches the Rfam family "Bacterial small subunit ribosomal RNA", at positions 38 to 509 of the family's 1533-position model. The record is from RNAcentral. Lineage: Bacteria; Bacillati; Bacillota; Bacilli; Caryophanales; Staphylococcaceae.
GGCGGCGUGCCUAAUACAUGCAAGUCGAGCGAACAGAUAAGGAGCUUGCUCCUUUGACGUUAGCGGCGGACGGGUGAGUAACACGUGGGUAACCUACCUAUAAGACUGGGACAACUUCGGGAAACCGGAGCUAAUACCGGAUAAUAUGUUGAACCGCAUGGUUCAAUAGUGAAAGAUGGUUUUGCUAUCACUUAUAGAUGGACCCGCGCCGUAUUAGCUAGUUGGUGAGGUAACGGCUCACCAAGGCAACGAUACGUAGCCGACCUGAGAGGGUGAUCGGCCACACUGGAACUGAGACACGGUCCAGACUCCUACGGGAGGCAGCAGUAGGGAAUCUUCCGCAAUGGGCGAAAGCCUGACGGAGCAACGCCGCGUGAGUGAUGAAGGUCUUAGGAUCGUAAAACUCUGUUAUUAGGGAAGAACAAACGUGUAAGUAACUGUGCACGUCUUGACGGUACCUAAUCAGAAAGCCACGGCUAACUACGUGCC